Molecule: ribosomal RNA, 460 nt
Filed under: uncultured bacterium
Lineage: Bacteria
Description: bacterial SSU rRNA
Rfam family: Bacterial small subunit ribosomal RNA
Source: RNAcentral
AGGCCUAACACAUGCAAGUCGAGCGGUAAGGCCUUUCGGGGUACACGAGCGGCGAACGGGUGAGUAACACGUGGGUGAUCUGCCCUGCACUUCGGGAUAAGCCUGGGAAACUGGGUCUAAUACCGGAUAUGACCACAGCAUGCAUGUGUUGUGGUGGAAAGAUUUAUCGGUGCAGGAUGGGCCCGCGGCCUAUCAGCUUGUUGGUGGGGUAAUGGCCUACCAAGGCGACGACGGGUAGCCGACCUGAGAGGGUGACCGGCCACACUGGGACUGAGACACGGCCCAGACUCCUACGGGAGGCAGCAGUGGGGAAUAUUGCACAAUGGGCGAAAGCCUGACGGAGCAAUGCCGCGUGGAGGAAGAAGGCCCGUGGGUUGUAAACUCCUUUUCUCAGAGAAGAAGACAUGACGGUAUCUGAGGAAUAAGCUCCGGCUAACUCUGUGCCAGCAGCCGCGGUAAU